RNAcentral lists this ribosomal RNA (468 nucleotides) under uncultured bacterium. RNAcentral describes it as "partial 16S ribosomal RNA". It matches the Rfam family "Bacterial small subunit ribosomal RNA", at positions 28 to 507 of the family's 1533-position model. The record is from RNAcentral.
GACGAACGCUGGCGGCGUGCUUAACACAUGCAAGUCGAACGGAAAGGCCCUGCUUUUGUGGGGUGCUCGAGUGGCGAACGGGUGAGUAACACGUGAGUAACCUGCCCUUGACUUUGGGAUAACUUCAGGAAACUGGGGCUAAUACCGGAUAGGAGCUCCUGCUGCAUGGUGGGGGUUGGAAAGUUUCGGCGGUUGGGGAUGGACUCGCGGCUUAUCAGCUUGUUGGUGGGGUAGUGGCUUACCAAGGCUUUGACGGGUAGCCGGCCUGAGAGGGUGACCGGACACGUGGGGCUGAGGCAGCGGCCCGGCCCCCACGGGGAGGGGAGGGGGGGGUGGUUGAAAAAGGGGGAGGGGGCUAAGCCUGACACCGCGGGGGGGGGGGAGGGGGCUGGGGGUUAGGAACCCGUUGCCCCUUGAGACGAGGGGUGAGUGAGGGUACGGGGAAAAUAAGCACGGGCUAACUCCGUG